This 248-nucleotide unclassified non-coding RNA is filed under the name Ascomycota sp. Its description in RNAcentral is "partial contains small subunit ribosomal RNA, internal transcribed spacer 1, and 5.8S ribosomal RNA". The stretch from base 1 to 47 matches the Rfam family "Eukaryotic small subunit ribosomal RNA", at positions 1785 to 1831 of the family's 1831-position model. The record is from RNAcentral. Lineage: Eukaryota; Fungi; Ascomycota.
AAAGUCGUAACAAGGUUUCCGUAGGUGAACCUGCGGAAGGAUCAUUAAAGUAUAUUGAAUUCUAAUUCAUAUCUACCCACCCUGUGUACCUUCUUACUGUUGCUUCCAUGGGACUUGGCUACGCCACGUCGGCCUCUGGGCUGGUGAGCUCCCAUGGGAGGAAAUCAAAACUCCUUUUUGUACAUGACGUCUGUCUGAAGUGUUUGUUAUAAACGUUAAAACUUUCAACAACGGAUCUCUUGGUUCUC